UGGGGAAUAUUGCACAAUGGGGGAAACCCUGAUGCAGCGACGCCGCGUGAGUGAAGAAGUAUUUCGGUAUGUAAAGCUCUAUCAGCAGGGAAGAAAAUGACGGUACCUGACUAAGAAGCCCCGGCUAACUACGUGCCAGCAGCCGCGGUAAUACGUAGGGGGCAAGCGUUAUCCGGAUUUACUGGGUGUAAAGGGAGCGUAGACGGCUGUGCAAGUCUGAUGUGAAAAGGCAGGGGCUCAACUCCUGGACUGCAUUGGAAACUGUGUAGCUUGAGUGCCGGAGAGGUAAGCGGAAUUCCUAGUGUAGCGGUGAAAUGCGUAGAUAUUAGGAGGAACACCAGUGGCGAAGGCGGCUUGCUGGACCAAAAACUGACGCUGAGGCACGAAAAGCGUGGGUAGCAAAACAGGAUUAGAUACCC
This 419-nucleotide ribosomal RNA is filed under the name uncultured bacterium. RNAcentral's name for it is "bacterial SSU rRNA". It matches the Rfam family "Bacterial small subunit ribosomal RNA", at positions 355 to 787 of the family's 1533-position model. The record is from RNAcentral.